RNAcentral lists this ribosomal RNA (817 nucleotides) under Citrobacter freundii. Its description in RNAcentral is "partial 23S ribosomal RNA". It matches the Rfam family "Bacterial large subunit ribosomal RNA", at positions 1 to 867 of the family's 2925-position model. Lineage: Bacteria; Pseudomonadati; Pseudomonadota; Gammaproteobacteria; Enterobacterales; Enterobacteriaceae. The record is from RNAcentral.
GCGACUAAGCGUACACGGUGGAUGCCUUGGCAGUCAGAGGCGAUGAAGGACGUGCUAAUCUGCGAUAAGCGUCGGUAAGGUGAUAUGAACCGUUAUAACCGGCGAUUUCCGAAUGGGGAAACCCAGUGUGAUUCGUCACACUAUCAUUACGUGAAUACAUAGCGUAAUGAAGCGAACCGGGGGAACUGAAACAUCUAAGUACCCCGAGGAAAAGAAAUCAACCGAGAUUCCCCCAGUAGCGGCGAGCGAACGGGGAGCAGCCCAGAGUCUGAAUCAGCUUGUGUGUUAGUGGAACGGUCUGGAAAGUCCGACGGUACAGGGUGAUAGUCCCGUACACCAAAAUGCACAGGUUGUGAACUCGAAGAGUAGGGCGGGACACGUGGUAUCCUGUCUGAAUAUGGGGGGACCAUCCUCCAAGGCUAAAUACUCCUGACUGACCGAUAGUGAACCAGUACCGUGAGGGAAAGGCGAAAAGAACCCCGGCGAGGGGAGUGAAAAAGAACCUGAAACCGUGUACGUACAAGCAGUGGGAGCCUCUUUAUGGGGUGACUGCGUACCUUUUGUAUAAUGGGUCAGCGACUUAUAUUCUGUAGCAAGGUUAACCGUAUAGGGGAGCCGAAGGGAAACCGAGUCUUAACUGGGCGUUAAGUUGCAGGGUAUAGACCCGAAACCCGGUGAUCUAGCCAUGGGCAGGUUGAAGGUUGGGUAACACUAACUGGAGGACCGAACCGACUAAUGUUGAAAAAUUAGCGGAUGACUUGUGGCUGGGGGUGAAAGGCCAAUCAAACCGGGAGAUAGCUGGUUCUCCCCGAAAGCU